RNAcentral lists this ribosomal RNA (250 nucleotides) under uncultured bacterium. RNAcentral's name for it is "partial 16S ribosomal RNA". It matches the Rfam family "Bacterial small subunit ribosomal RNA", at positions 524 to 773 of the family's 1533-position model. The record is from RNAcentral.
UACGAAGGGGGCUAGCGUUGUUCGGAAUUACUGGGCGUAAAGGGCGCGUAGGCGGCCUUGUUAGUCGAGUGUGAAAGCCCUGGGCUUAACCCGGGAAGCGCGCUUGAUACUGCAGGGCUUGAGUGUGGGAGAGGGAAGCGGAAUUCCUGGUGUAGAGGUGAAAUUCGUAGAUAUCAGGAGGAACACCGGUGGCGAAGGCGGCAUCCUGGACCAAUACUGACGCUGAGGAGCGAAAGCCAGGGGAGCAAAC